Symphalangus syndactylus (siamang) is the source of this 371-nucleotide long non-coding RNA. RefSeq lists it as uncharacterized. The record is from RefSeq and is a predicted model, not a curated record. Lineage: Eukaryota; Metazoa; Chordata; Mammalia; Primates; Hylobatidae.
CAGCAGAGCAGGCAGCUGCUGCCUGGUCAGCAUUAGACUCCGAGCCUCAGAGACUCUGGCAGCUGGGAGGAACCACUGCGACAUCUCGUCUCCUUCCCACCAACACAGAACGUUCUCAUGAUAGAGGACAGUCCUUGCAUCACUCUAUGAGUUUCUGCCGUAUCAUCUGGAGGUGGCCAGUGGAAGCGGAGCAUCUGUGCCGCAGCUGGCCUUCUGCCCAAUUCUUGUCCCAUUGGAUCAGCUCCCACACAGCCUACCACCGCAUUUGUAGAAUCACAGAAUGAAGAUUACCUGAGCUGCAGGAGACCUCCGAGCUCUCAGACACCACCUGACCCAGCUCUCUCAUUUUACUGAUGGACAAACCAAGGCCU